UGAAGGGCGGGUUCUAUGUCGACGUGCUGGACCACGCAUAUGCUAAGAUACACGUGGGGAUCAUCGGCAUCGACUGGACAUUCCUGGAUGCCAGAGUCUGCUUCAAGGGACAGGCAGAAUACGAAUUCAACGUUUUCCAUGAGUUCAACUACGAAGAGAUUUUCCAACUGGUUAAAAAGUUUGACGGCGUGAUCAACCAGGUCGUUGGAAACGUAAAGAACAACAUCAUCCGUUUCAGGAAACUUCUGGGAAGAAAGACGGGCUCCAUUGACGGCACCUUCGAUGACAUCAUUAAGUCGGUGGAGAAGUUCCCCGACCAAGUUAAAGAGUUAAAGGUGAAGGCGAAGAAUUUCACCAGGAAAGCCGGAGAGUACACCAACCUCCAUCCGGUCGUGGAGAACGUCAAACAUGUGGUCCAGCGAGUCAGCACGCUCAUCAGUGACGUCAAGGAUGACGUCAUGGAGUU
Molecule: long non-coding RNA, 466 nt
Organism: Branchiostoma floridae (Florida lancelet)
Lineage: Eukaryota; Metazoa; Chordata; Leptocardii; Amphioxiformes; Branchiostomatidae
Exons: 3
Source: RefSeq, a predicted model, not a curated record